AUAUUUAGUCAUACAUAUUUUACAUAAGUGAUUUGAACUUUAUUGCUUGCUUUUUGCAGUCUCUUAGGGAAACCAUAAAUCAAGAAUAUAGGGAGGUUGUUGAGAGAAGAGUCUUCACAGUAACGGGUAAUCGGCCUGAUGAAGAGACUAUUGACCGGCUGAUAGAGACAGGAAAUAGCGAGCAAAUCUUCCAGAAGGCAAUCCAGGAGCAAGGACGUGGUCAGGUAGUGGACACCCUUGCAGAAAUCCAAGAGCGUCACGAUGCCAUCAAAGAUUUGGAAAGAAAGCUUCUUGAGCUGCAGCAGGUAUUUGGUUUAAGAUAUUGAACAAAGAACUUGAAAAGUUACAUAACAGUUCAGGGUCUUAUGCUGCAUUUAU
This is a long non-coding RNA of Dendrobium catenatum, 378 nucleotides long. RefSeq lists it as uncharacterized. The transcript is spliced from 4 exons. The record is from RefSeq and is a predicted model, not a curated record. NCBI's taxonomy places the organism in Eukaryota, Viridiplantae, Streptophyta, Magnoliopsida, Asparagales, Orchidaceae.